Non-coding RNA from Podarcis lilfordi (Lilford's wall lizard), 5701 nucleotides. Lineage: Eukaryota; Metazoa; Chordata; Lepidosauria; Squamata; Lacertidae. The record is from the annotation of a GenBank genome assembly.
CUUGGCCCGGUUUCAUUCAUGGCCCACUGGAUAUCCAAAAGGUGUAUGACUUCUACAAAAUUGUCUGAAACCUCUUCUUAGUCCUCGCUCUGCUUGGCCCCUUUUUUUUCUUGUCAGGUAGUGUACACAAAGCCUUACUUUGAAUUGUUAUUUAAGGUGAUUGUUUUUCUUCCUGAAUACAUUUCCCAUCUCUCUUUCUUUCUUUCUCUUCUCCCCUCAGGUUUCUUAUCCAUCCCAAAAAUUGGCUUGGUACCGCUUUCGGAACUCAGACCAUCUGGUAGCCAUCACAGCCUCCUGUUGAGAUCAUGGAAACUGGUUCCGCCAUGCUGCUGCUGCCACUGCCUCCCUCAGCUGCACAUGUCACAUUUCAGCACCAUGCGGCGGUGGGCAUAAAGCCCAUUGGCACUAACACAGCAAAGCAACGGAGGAGCACAGGUAAGAGGGUCCUGGAAAAAUUAUAAGGCCCCAAUCCAGCCACAGUCAAGUACUUCUGGUUUCACUGAAAUCAUUUUCACUGAUUUCAGUUCCAGAGCUGAGCACGUGCUUUAACUCUCGCUCAGACACAUUUGUACAUGCAUACGCAGAGAGAGAGAAAUUGGUGGGAAUUAAAAGCUCUUAUCUUCGACUGGAUUGCUCCCCAUUUAAAUCCUGUCCCAUUUUAUUUGGAAACAAUCUGCUUCAAUAGACUGGGUAUAAGGAAUUAUUCCGUAUGAGAAAAAGGAUAGAGGGUCUUCUCUGUGGGCCUGGCUUUCAGACUGUAAACUCAACUAGCCUCUCUGAAUCCUAUCUUGACCUCACAGAGCUAGACCAAAGCAGCCUGGCUCUACUUGUUCAGAACUAUGAAAGGCCCCUUCUUACAGGCAAGGGAAGGUGGAAGAGAUUGAAGACAUCAGGGUUUGCCUCAGACUUUAGUAGUCCCUCUGCCCCCAACACUGAUUUGAAGUUUUGCCAAGAUUUGCUAUAACCCCUGCCACCCUUAGGCCCCCCACCCCACCCCAAACUGCUGCUACCAGUUGACUUCUCCUGGACAUCCUCACCGAAGUGUAGGGUGACACUGCUUGGGUCCCAUCCACUGCAGGUAACCACUAUGUUGUAAAGGUAAAGGACCACUGACAGGUAAGUCCAGUCGCAGACGACUCUGGGCUUGCAGCGCUCAUCUCGCUUUACAGGCUGAGGGAGCCAGCAUUUGUCCACAGACAGCUUUCCGGGUCGUGUGGCCAGCAUGACUAAACCUCUUCUGGUGCAACAGAACACUGAAACCAGAGCAGCGCACAGAAACACUGUUUACUUUCCCGCCAGAGCAGUACCUAUUAAUCUACUUGCACUUUUUUGCAUGCUUUCAAACUGCUAGGUUGACAGGAGCUGGUACUGAGCAACGGGAGCUCCCCCCGUCGCGGGGAUUCGAACUGCCGACCUUCUGAUCGGCAAGCCCAAGAGCCACUCAUCUGGUGCCAGCUUACUUGGAGGAGUUUGUCAAGACGCAUUUGGACAGGAUACCUACCACAUGAUGGGUUCCCACUCCAGGUGGUUGUUGAUGAUGGUCAGGCAAAUACCAUUACCCUUGAUCCCUUCUAAAAUUAACCAAGAUGACACUAGACUUACUUUUGCAUAUUACAGUGUAAGAGGUUUUAACAUUGGCACUAUAACUCAUGAGAUGCAUGCAUGUAUGUAUUUAAUAUGCCUGGUAUAAGAAAUUUAAAUAGCAGCCAUGGGAGGGCUGGGGAGGGAGAAUUCAAACAUACACACACACACACACACACACACACGCGCACACACACACACACACACACACACUGGUGCAGCAGUCUUGAUGGGGGAAGGAAAUUCCCAAUGCUGCUGCCCCCCCCCCCGGCAGACUGGAAGCUGCCAUUGGCUGGUGAUUUUUUUUUAAAUGAAAGGUUGACAGCCCUGUUUAUGGCCAUAUAAUUAUAAUUUUUUAUGAAGCUUCUGAUCCUGGCAGUUGUUAUCCUUUGGGGUUGUAUAUCUCUCCUACCUUAAAACUGUCAUUUUUCCUAUUACAUAACAAAAAUAGCUGGCUUGGUGCCUUUUGAGGAGAGACUGUUGAGGUGUUUAUUACCAUCAGUCCCCCUCUCCCAAAGUGCAAGGGCGUUGUUCACUCAGCACUGAAACUGCUGGGAAUGGAGGUGGGGGAAGAGUAUCGGCUUUCCUACUUUGGAAUAGAUCUCUGAUGGACUCCGUACGUGCCGCUUUGGUUUAUUAAGCAACAUUUUAACCAGUUAAAAUAAAUUUACAAGCAUUUAUAAAAUCCCAAAAGUAAUUGGUUUUCACCCUUGAGCAAAAACAUUUCAUAACAGGCACAUUAAGCAUUAAUGUAACCAAACCUUUUUAUUGUUGACAACCACAGGACAAUCAUGUGUAAGACUAACAGUUUGUAGUUAAUAUUUAUGAUGGAGCUUAUGACUCACCUGUGGAGCAAUUAAGUGCUGCUCUUAAAGACUGAGGUUUAGGGUUUUUUUACACACACAAGAAGUAUUUUCUGCAUGCCCGUGUGAAUCUCCUGCAACUUUAGUACAUUCUUGCUUUAAACACUGAUCUUUCUAAACAUUGUACAUUAUUCUGCUGAACGGAUAACAGACAUGUUAAUUAUUGUUGAGUUUAUACUUCUAAAGACCGUUGUAUGUCUGGGUCAGACCGGAUAAUAUCAGUACAUCAAAACAGCACAUUAAACCCCAAAUUAUCAGAUCAGCUGAGGUCAGCAGAUGAGACAUACACACACACCUGUGGGUGACAGUACACAUUAUCAAAAAAUGUGAGAGUGGCAACCCCAUGUCAAGACCCAUGUAUCAAACAACAACAUGUUAACAAACUGGGUGUCCUUGAGACUUUCCCUGUCCCAGCCCUACAUCAUUGGCGCCUGCCGGCAGUGGCAGUGAAAUGCUCCGCAUAAAGUUUCUCAGGAUACUAGUAAGUCAUAUUUCAUGAUUUCAUAUUGGGGUAGCCCAUACGCUGUCUUGCAAUGUUGCUGGACUCUUUCCACCAUUCCUGUCCCUGGACCUGAUGGGAUUUUGACUCCAACAACAUGUUUCUAAGCUCUGGGAUGGAAUUUGGCAGAGGACUGUUAUUUUUUAUCUAGCCCAGAGUUUCUGAUAACAUGUAAUUCUGCCUUGCAUAAUGCCACACAAAUGGUUCUUCAUGUUUUCAGAGGGUUUGGUCCUUACAGAUUAGGUCAGGCUGACAUGGAGUCAGGGUGGUGUAGUGGUUAGAGAGUUGAACUAGGACUGAGAAGGCCAAAAAACCAAAGCGCCAUUUGGCCAUGAAGCUCACGAGGUGACUUUGGGCCACCCACAUUUUCUCAAUCUAACUACUUCACAGAAUUGUUGUGGAGAUAAAAUGAGAGCUGAAAACUAUGUACACCUUGAGCUUCCUGGAGGAAGGGUGGAAUCUAAAUGCAACAGAUAAAUACCAUACACAUCUGGGAAUUAAUGAAUCAUUAGAGCAAUCACUGCAUUUUCAUAAAGAAAGAUGGGAUCUUUUGACACCUUUUGUUUGAUGAAUUGUGUUGGCACAGUAGCAUGCCUUGAUAGUUGCAUUGAAGAUGCCUUUAUUAAGCAGUAGAGCACAAGCUUUGCACGCAGAAGGACCCAGAUUCAGCCCAUGCUGUCUCCAGUUAAAGGGUAUCAAGCAGCAGUACGUGGAAAGACUCUGAGAUCUUCCAGAGCAGAUGCCAAAAUGGGAAGAUAGAGGUAGGCAAAAUGGAGCUUUAAUGUAUGCAUUAGUUUUGGCCCAGUAUGGUUCUGGCAUCUCUUUCAGAUGCUGAACAUAGUCUUUAAAGCUUGCUUCUAUAUGAAUUAAUAAAAUAAAUUCAGGGUGACUUGUGUGGGGUGCCAUCUCGGUUGGGGCAUCACAGUGUUCAGAAAAUUAUCAGGCCCCCUGGCUGAUAUAUUAUUAAGAAUGGGCUUUGUGUAGCCUCCAGUAGGUGAACACCCACUGACCAAGCCUGGUGGUGCCUGGCCAGACCCCAGCAGCUCCAUGCCCUGUGCAUAGAAUGCAGGAUAUUAACCCAUGUUAGUCAUACAUACAUACAUACUUUAAGUUAAAUGUCAGGUUAUAAAUAAUAAAGAUUCACUACCUGGAUUACUACCAACAAUAAAAGCUAAAGUAUGAUUGUUAUAAAUGUGGAAUUUGUAGAAUAUUCCUAAAAGAUUGUAUUGUGUCUAAACUAGUAAUGCACUGAUUAGCAACACCAUUAAUUUUUCCUCCCUCUAGAGAUCUUUUUUGUCUUGCAGGUUACUAUAAUUCAACCCAGGGAUUUGUUGGACCUCAUCUGCAUCAGAGUGAGACUGUCCUUUGGGGUGAGGUAGUAGGUUGUAUAGUUUUAGGGUUAUACCCUGCCUGUCAGAUAACUAUACAAUCUACUGUCUUUCCUGAAGUGGCUGUGAUAGCGGCACAGGACGUUCCAUCACCGUAUCAGGAAACAACAUCUGUUACUGAUGCAUACGAAUGUAUGGGACAGGAGAGCGGAACCUUAAAGUAUUUGAAUCAGCCCAUCCAUUGACCUCGUUGAGCCAAGGACAUGAUUCAAGGGCCUAACACACCAACCAAAUAAUGUCCUCUUACUGAGUUGUACUUGAUAAGGGUAGCCUCUGUGUCUAGGUGUACACAUUUUGACUAACCAAACAGUAUGGUCUUCUUUAAAAUGUUUUGCAAAAAAAAUAACUCUUGUGGAAUAGAGCAUCUUUCUUUAGUACAGUAGUUCCAUAGGAAGUUUGCACAGAUCACAAUAUCCUCCAAAUGUAAAUUACAGCACUACUUGGCCACUACAGGUUUCUAGUUGAGACAGGAAUAGACCCAUUUGGCAGGUGGCAGUGAAGAAGAGGAGAGGGCCCAUUUGGUUAUCAGAGGGUGCUGCGAUGUGGCAGCAGAGGUAAAGUAUAGACCAAGACCACAUGGUAGGAAAAUCCCACACAAUAGACCUGGAGUGGUGACUCAUGAGUGGAAGCAGAAGGCAUUGCAAGGCUGCUGCUAAUCCUGAGGAGUGACUAGGAGGUGGGGAAAGGGCUGGUGGACAUAGGAAGGAGAGCAUGAGGCCAGUGCCGUACUGCAACACCUGGAGAAUGGCCAGCAGCACUAAAUACAGGUAUAGCCUAGUGGAAUGAGCACCAUCAUCCCCUCUUUGGCUCUGUUAGAUUCCUUGAACAGCAACCCCUGGUUGUCACCCAGUGGAAAUGGCAGCCUUGCCUUUCACUCCAAAUACAUUUAUGCAUCACCACAUGCAAGACUCUCUCUCUUAAUUGUGGAAGCAAAAGCCAAGAAGUAGCUGUGUUCUAUCAACGCCACCCAGUGCUUUGGCAGGAUGAGGUAGUAGGUUGUGUGGUUUCAGGGUAGUGAUUUUGCCCCAAUCAGGAGAUAACUAUACAACCUACUGCCUUCCCUGAGGAGCAGCUUUGCAGCUUGCCCAGAAAACCCAUUUCACUUUCAAGUAGACAAUCCAUGCAACAGUCCUCCCAAAGUAUCUUGAGAACUGUAUGAUUAUGCUGGGAAUUCUGUGUUGGAGAACCACUACCCCCACCUAAAAAUGCAGUCCCCAAGGACAAUAUGACUUUUAAGCCAGCUUCAAUCUAUGAAAUGGGACAGUAUGAAUUAGAGAAGAUGUUAUGGUCAUCUCCAGAGUAAACCUAUAUGUGAAAAUAGUAUUAUUUGGGAUUUUGUAUUCAGAGUUUAUAUAAUUUUAUGCCUGUCA